GACGAACGCUGGCGGCGUGCUUAACACAUGCAAGUCGAACGCUGAAGCUUGGUGCUUGCACUGGGUGGAUGAGUGGCGAACGGGUGAGUAAUAAGUGAGUAACCUGCCCUUGACUCUGGGAUAAGCCUGGGAAACUGGGUCUAAUACUGGAUACGACAUGUCACCGCAUGGUGGUGUGUGGAAAGGGUUUUACUGGUUUUGGAUGGGCUCACGGCCUAUCAGCUUGUUGGUGGGGUAAUGGCUCACCAAGGCGACGACGGGUAGCCGGCCUGAGAGGGUGACCGCCAACAGGAGGCGGGCGACGCGCCGAAGAGGGCGACGGAGCGGAGGAGAGGGGAAAGUGGGACACGGGGGGGCGCCCUUGUGCAGCGGAGGCGAAGGGGGGAGGACGGGCUGAGGGUUGAAAACGCCUCGCAGCAAGGAAGAAGAGAAGGGGACGGGAGGGGAAGAGGAAGCGCCGGCAAAUUCAGCUACAGCCGCGCCGGUAAUAAGCGAAGAGCCCACGUAAAACC
Molecule: ribosomal RNA, 512 nt
Filed under: uncultured bacterium
Lineage: Bacteria
Description: partial 16S ribosomal RNA
Rfam family: Bacterial small subunit ribosomal RNA
Source: RNAcentral